GAGCUCCCUGCCGGUUCUGGGGCGCUGGAGGGCCCGUCCCGCAGGGGGCCUGCUCGUCCUGCGCGAGGCCCCCACCUCUGCCCCGACGUUAACGGCCGAGCGCUCCCUGCCGGAGGAGGCCUGCAGCUGGCGAAGGUGUGCGGACCGAAGCCUUAGCCCCCAACCCGGUUUCUCCCCACCGCGGAACCCGCGUGUUUUCUGUGUACCUCGACUGUGUGCCUCCCGCGUGGUCGCGUUCCCAGCUGUGAACUCUGGAACGGUGGCGUGUCACCUGUCGGUUCCCUAAAGCCUCACAGCCGUGCCUGCCUGUUACAUGGGCUGCUUAUGAGCGAGCCAGCCACUGGGUUGGGGUAGAAGUCUUGGCAUCAAAGCUUCGUUGACUUAAAUGGCUAAAUUAGAAACAAAGCCGUAGCAGGUGAACCUUUACUGAGUGAAUGGAAGGAAAGGUAGGAAGAUGGAAAAUAACGCUUCUAAGUAAUGGCCUAGGCUGAGCACGUAAAAACCCCACAAAUUAAGAGUAUCGGAAAAACCCAAACUUGGGAAAAAGUACAUAAUGGAUUAACAGGAAGAGCAGAAGAGUGAGGCUGGCAAAUGUGGAAAGCUGGAGAAUAUGCUGUUACGUGGCCACGCUUACAAACCAGAACAAGAUUUGAGAAGCAUUCUUCCGGGGCAAAGGGCUCUGAGCACCCCAGUUCUUAAAUUCAGAGAUCUGCCAGCAGCAGGAGCCAGCCAUCUCUCUCGAGGAGACGGAGAAGGAUAACAAACAGAAUGAUCUACAAGCCAGGAGGCAGCAACAGUGGGACAGAAAAAGAUGUAAGAAACGGAUAAGCAUCCACAGCAAAACAAGGGAGAAUGAGGAAGUGGGGAGACUCCAUUAUGGGGAAGAACAAAAAAGUGGAGAUAGCAUGGAUGACAGUAACUGAAGGAACACGGUGGGUGGGCUGGGUGGCCCAGUGUAUGUAUCUCAGGAAUGGAUGGCUCAGCGGGCAGGUGGCAGGGAGGGGAUGUCCCAGAAGGUGUCGGGAACAGAUGAGGAGGUACGAUGAACAGAGCGAAGAGGAGUGGGGUGACGCGGACGUGUCUCUAUCACAGACUUCCUAGAGGCCGUUAUGGAACGAAUGGAGGGGAGAGAAAAACCUGCUGGAGAAACAGUGACCGGCAAUUUCCCGGGACCAGACACACACCUUAGAUAUUCAAGGAAGACAUUAGGACCGCAGCGUGCAGACGCUCAUGACGUGCCUCACCGGUAGAACUUAACGUCAGAGACCAUGAGAAAUCUUCAUAGUCUCCAAAAAAGAAAAACUAGAUCCUUUUCAAAGAAACAAGAACCAGACACCAACUUUCUCAGUAACGACUCCAGAAAUAAGGAGACCGAGAAAUGAUACAGCGUUGAACCUAGAAGUUUAUCCAGGUUGAUUAUUACUGACUUUUGAACGUGAGACACAACAUCACCUAAGAGCGCAGUGAGUGCAUUUCCCUAACUCCCUUGAAAGAACUCUUUGAGGAUGUGCUCUGAGGAGAAGAAAAAUGAUUUCAGCAGAAAACACAAAAGUCAGGAGGCAAAGUAAAGAAGCUGCUGAAUUCUGUGCUCUGCAUAGGCAAUGAUAAAAACAAAUUAUUUUAGAACCAUGAAUGGGAGUUGUUCUUCUGCUGACACUACACAGCCCUGCCUCUGCAGCCCCCCGUCCCAGCCCCAGGGCCUUGAAACGGCACUCGAACCGCAUUCCUUUCUUGGUGUCCUCCUUCCCCAAUCCACCCGCUGGGUGGUCUUACUUGAUAACUGGUGCCAGAGGCCCAAACGUCUCUUCGUGAGAGCAGAGCAUGUCCCUGGUGACAUUGCUGAGCAGUGUGGGCUCAAAGAAGUUUUUUCCAAGUUGGUGUCGCUUCCCGCCUGUCACAACAGUGG
Long non-coding RNA from Neofelis nebulosa (Clouded leopard), 1906 nucleotides. RefSeq lists it as uncharacterized. NCBI's taxonomy places the organism in Eukaryota, Metazoa, Chordata, Mammalia, Carnivora, Felidae. The record is from RefSeq and is a predicted model, not a curated record. The transcript has 4 exons.